RNAcentral lists this unclassified non-coding RNA (231 nucleotides) under Hevea brasiliensis (rubber tree). The record is from RNAcentral. Lineage: Eukaryota; Viridiplantae; Streptophyta; Magnoliopsida; Malpighiales; Euphorbiaceae.
UCCAAUGUAUUUCUGCGACCUAGGCAACCUUGACGCAGCAAAAUUCUUGAAGUUACUCACUUUCCCUGAUAUCUUCUCAAUUCCGCUAACUAGCAUAUGCCUCGAACUUUCAAACUCCGAUUGCAAUCCAUCCCUACCUUUCACCGCCUCCUCAAAUUGCUUCGCAAUCUCAUCUCUCUGUUUCACAGACUCGUCCUUCUCUUUCAAAGCCUCUUCCUUCUCGCGCACAGC